AGCAAACGCUGGCGGCAGGCCUAACACAUGCAAGUCGAACGAACCUUUCGGGGUUAGUGGCGGACGGGUGAGUAACACGUGGGAACGUGCCUUUAGGUUCGGAAUAACUCAGGGAAACUUGUGCUAAUACCGAAUGUGCCCUUCGGGGGAAAGAUUAAUCGCCUUUAGAGCGGCCCGCGUCUGAUUAGCUAGUUGGUUGAGGUAAUGGCUCACCAAGGCGACGAUCAGUAGCUGGUCUGAGAGGAUGAUCAGCCACAUUGGGACUGAGACACGGCCCAAACUCCUACGGGAGGCAGCAGUGGGGAAUCUUGCGCAAUGGGCGAAAGCCUGACGCAGCCAUGCCGCGUGAAUGAUGAAGGUCUUAGGAUUGUAAAAUUCUUUCACCGGGGACGAUAAUGACGGUACCCGGAGAAGAAGCCCCGGCUAACUUCGUG
This 434-nucleotide ribosomal RNA is filed under the name uncultured bacterium. RNAcentral describes it as "partial 16S ribosomal RNA". It matches the Rfam family "Bacterial small subunit ribosomal RNA", at positions 29 to 507 of the family's 1533-position model. The record is from RNAcentral.